RNAcentral lists this transfer RNA (74 nucleotides) under Pteris vittata (Chinese brake). Its description in RNAcentral is "tRNA-Arg". The record is from RNAcentral. Lineage: Eukaryota; Viridiplantae; Streptophyta; Polypodiopsida; Polypodiales; Pteridaceae.
AGAUUGGUGGCUAAAUGGAAGAAAACGCGUGUUUUUAAACCGCAUAUCCGAGGGUUCGAAUCCCCCACCACUUA